Long non-coding RNA from Mesocricetus auratus (golden hamster), 1632 nucleotides. RefSeq lists it as uncharacterized. The record is from RefSeq and is a predicted model, not a curated record. The transcript is spliced from 4 exons. Lineage: Eukaryota; Metazoa; Chordata; Mammalia; Rodentia; Cricetidae.
UGUUCUGCUGUUACUAGGGCAGUUAUCAAAUUUUCUUUCUCACCACAAUAAUUGUACAGUAUUUAUGUCUGUAAAAUUAAUUUUUCUAUCUUAUACAUAAAUUGGUUCUAGGAAGAAUAGCUUAACAUAGAAAAUAAAGAUAUCAGCCUCAUUAUAAAUAAUUAAGAGCCAAAGACCAUUGGAGGCAGGGGUUUGAAAGUCAAAAGCCCACAGUGAGCACAGAGGUAGUGAGUAAAGAUAGUAAGUGAGAUGACUUAGUGAAUCUGCAUUUGAGUUUGCAGAAUCCACAUAAAAAGUUGGAUGCAAUUGUUAUUUCCUGUAUCUGGAAACAACACUGGGAAAGUAGAAACAGGAGGUUCCCUGGAGAUUGCUAGCCAGUUAGUCUAGCAAAUAUUAAGUGCCAGGUUCAAAGGAGAAUGAUUGAGGAAGAUACCAAACACCUCUCCAUUUAAACACAUAUAUGUACGUGUGUACUCAGACACACUCCUGUACAUAUACAGACACACAGAGAAACAGACUCUGUCUCUCUGUCUCUAUGUCUCUGUCUCUGUCUCUGUCUCUCUCUCUCUCUCUCUCUCUCUCUCUCUCUCUCACACACACACACACAUACACACACACCAAAGUUGAUUUAAGGGAACAGAAGAUAAGGACCUAAAUAAUGUAUGUCACAUAGAAAGUAUCAACCAUAUUGAGCUCUAGCUCUGGCUGAUCAUUCCCAGGAGGCGCUCUAUAAUAAGUGUGGCCAAAUUGCUUAUGCUUUCACGAUGGACAUACUUAUUUAAGUAUGAAUCUUAAGAGUUCUAAAUUUUGGUAAGUAACUCAGAGUAGAAAUAUGUUGUACAUAACAUGCAGUACAGGUCUGUAGGCUAGAAUCAGCCAGUGGGUUACCCAUUCAUAAUCUCUUAUUAAAAAGGGAUAGAGUAAAAAUUAAAUUUAGGAAGCCGAGACAAGAUGGCAAUGGAUAUGAAAUCAGUCUCUGAGCUUCAUUGUGGGUAAAAUAAAUAUGGACGUUGAUUAUUUUCCUGUUAGUCAGACAUUUCCUGCUGUGACAAAUGUAAGAGAAACAGUUCAUGGGAGUUAAGAUCUAAUUGAGCUCACAGUUUCAGAGGUUUCAGUCCAUUAUUGGCUUGCUCUGUUGUUUCUAGGCUGAUGAUGAUGCCAUGAUGAUGCCAAACAUCGUGGCAGAAGGGAAUAGAGAACAAAAAUUGCUUAUCUCGUGGCAACCAGGAAAAAGAAAAAGAGACAGGAAAGGGCCAUGUACAAGAUAUAUCUUCCUAGUGCAUAUUCUUAGUCACCUACAUCCAUCUAACCUACUAACUUAUAUCCAGAACUUCCCCAAAACCGUCUGUUGUUGUCACAUGGUCACCUCAAUCAGACCUUUUCCAGAUAUUGGCCACCGAGACAAGGCAAAUAGAGCUGUUCCUUACCACCAGAACAUCUAGGACAUCUCUCUUAUUAACCAGGUGCUAUGCAGAUCAAUUGAUGCGAUUGUGAUGCCCCUGAGCUCUGUGACCUGCCUGGACUCCAUCUCAGACAACUGCCCUCAGAUCCUGAAACAAUGAAAUGGAAAGACUUGAAAAUUUGUUUUCUCAGAGCCUUCAUUUAGUAGCUGAUGGAAGCAGAAGCAGAGAC